RNA transcript from Sorghum bicolor (sorghum), 1479 nucleotides. RefSeq lists it as uncharacterized. The transcript is spliced from 5 exons. Lineage: Eukaryota; Viridiplantae; Streptophyta; Magnoliopsida; Poales; Poaceae. The record is from RefSeq and is a predicted model, not a curated record.
UCCGCAUGCCAUGGCCCUCUCGAGCCACGAGUCCCCAGUACACGCAGCGCGUCUGCGCCUCCCUCCUCGCCCAAUGCGCUUCAUCCCCGUCAUCGAUCCAGAUAUGCUUCAGCUCCCCAAUCAGGUCAUCGAUCCGGAGGUGCUCGUCUCCCCCAAUCAGGAGCUGCUCAUGCCGAGGCCCAGCCUCACCCUUUCAAAUCUGCUCCCCGUCCAACCACCCAAGCAGUCCAGCUCCACAUCGCCACCGCCGCCCACGUCUGCUCCCCGUGCUGUUGUACCUCGACCUGCUCUUCUCCGUGAUCUGCAUCCCGACUCUGCCCUUCGACUUCCUCAACGGCAGCGGUGGAGUGGAUCGUCGCCAGGUACGUGGUGUGGCGUCGAGUGGAGGAACCUUGCAUCCACCGCCUGCUUCGCAUCUCGCCACAAACUCGCCGCAACUGCCGCUCGUUGCUCACGUCGCCACAACCGCGCUGGACACAGAGGCCGCGACUCGCUGCUCCCUGCCGCGACGAAACGUGGUGUCAGGGCGUGGGGAGUGCCGGGGCAAAAUCUGCGAAGUCAACAGGUGUCAUGAAAAGCAGGGCAGGGGGUCCUAAUCUACUGUCAUCGACGACAUUGCCACUCCCAGGUUACCUAGCUGAAUCCUGAAGAGCAUUCCUUAAUGCAUUUGGAGCAAUAGUUCGUUGCUGCACCUGUUUGAAGCAAGUAAUUGUAGAUACAAAAAGAUUCAUACAAUGGAAAAUAAUUGUUCUCGUGUUCCAUUGGCAGACAAGACUAACAUCGCCAAAGCUGAUGCUAAAGAACGUAAGAGGGAAAGGGAUAGAGCUCGAUGGCAUGCAAUGUCUCAAGAACAGAAGGAUGCAAUUAAUAAGAGACAACGUGAAUCCUAUCAUCAAAGAAAAAAGAUACAUGGAUUUGGAACUACUAAUUGUAAUGCAUGCUAACAUUUUGACAUUGCCAUGUAGGAAUUAAUUAGCAUAUCUUUUGUUAUAUAUAUAUAUGAAAAUAUUUUUGUAGAUGAUGACGCUGCAUCAAAUAAAGAAAAUGUGGAUCAAGUAGAAACGGAAGAUUGGCUCCAUAGGAAUAAUUCCUACCAGAUCAACAAUAUUGUUGAUGAGAACAAAUCGACUCAGUUACCAUGUAAUUAAAGUUUCUUAAAUAUUUUAGGUCUUAUGAAAUUAUAAUGUUACAAAACUCGAUAAAGCUAAUGAUUGUAUUUAUAUGAUUACAUUGAUAGAUGAACUAGAAAUGGAGCCUAUAGAGAAGAGCACUGUCGAUUUCACCAGUACCCUUACUCCAAAUGCUCAUAAAACAUGUGUGCAAAGUUUGUCAAAAAGUAACUACUACAGUGAGAGGUACAAAAAUAUGACGCCUGAUCAGAGGGAUGCAAGGCGUGAACGGCAAAGGUUGUAUAAUACUAAACCUAAGCGUAAGGAGGCAAUGAAAUUAUCUCUCAAAAAAUUCAAAGAGGUGAGAAAG